This 530-nucleotide ribosomal RNA is filed under the name Micrococcus sp. SDB2. RNAcentral's name for it is "bacterial SSU rRNA". It matches the Rfam family "Bacterial small subunit ribosomal RNA", at positions 46 to 540 of the family's 1533-position model. The record is from RNAcentral. Lineage: Bacteria; Bacillati; Actinomycetota; Actinomycetes; Micrococcales; Micrococcaceae.
GCUUACCAUGCAAGUCGUACGAUGGAAGCCCAUAUUGCUGGGUGGAUUAGUGGCGAACGGGUGAGUAACACGUGAGUAACCUGCCCUUAACUCUGGGAUAAGCCUGGGAAACUGGGUCUAAUACCGGAUAGGAGCGUCCACCGCAUGGUGGGUGUUGGAAAGAUUUAUCGGUUUUGGAUGGACUCGCGGCCUAUCAGCUUGUUGGUGAGGUAAUGGCUCACCAAGGCGACGACGGGUAGCCGGCCUGAGAGGGUGACCGGCCACACUGGGACUGAGACACGGCCCAGACUCCUACGGGAGGCAGCAGUGGGGAAUAUUGCACAAUGGGCGAAAGCCUGAUGCAGCGACGCCGCGUGAGGGAUGACGGCCUUCGGGUUGUAAACCUCUUUCAGUAGGGAAGAAGCGAAAGUGACGGUACCUACAGAAGAAGCACCGGCUAACUACGUGCCAGCAGCCGCGGUAAUACGUAGGGUGCGAGCGGACGGUACCUACAGAAGAAGCACCGGCUAACUACGUGCCAGCAGCCGCGG